RNAcentral lists this ribosomal RNA (517 nucleotides) under uncultured bacterium. RNAcentral describes it as "bacterial SSU rRNA". It matches the Rfam family "Bacterial small subunit ribosomal RNA", at positions 373 to 880 of the family's 1533-position model. The record is from RNAcentral.
GGACGAAAGUCUGACGGAGCAACGCCGCGUGAGUGAAGAAGGUCUUCGGAUCGUAAAACUCUGUUGUUAGGGAAGAACAAGUGCCGUUCGAAUAGGGCGGCGCCUUGACGGUACCUAACCAGAAAGCCACGGCUAACUACGUGCCAGCAGCCGCGGUAAUACGUAGGUGGCAAGCGUUGUCCGGAAUUAUUGGGCGUAAAGCGCGCGCAGGUGGUUUCUUAAGUCUGAUGUGAAAGCCCACGGCUCAACCGUGGAGGGUCAUUGGAAACUGGGGGACUUGAGUGCAGAAGAGGAGAGUGGAAUUCCACGUGUAGCGGUGAAAUGCGUAGAGAUGUGGAGGAACACCAGUGGCGAAGGCGACUCUCUGGUCCGUAACUGACGCUGAGGCGCGAAAGCGUGGGGAGCAAACAGGAUUAGAUACCCUGGUAGUCCACGCCGUAAACGAUGAGUGCUAAGUGUUAGAGGGUUUCCGCCCUUUAGUGCUGCAGCUAACGCAUUAAGCACUCCGCCUGGGGAG